This 63-nucleotide transfer RNA is filed under the name Schizodactylus jimo. RNAcentral describes it as "tRNA-Arg". The record is from RNAcentral. Lineage: Eukaryota; Metazoa; Arthropoda; Insecta; Orthoptera; Schizodactylidae.
AAAUAAGAAGCGAUAAAUUGCAACCAAUUUCGACUUGGUCCUAGAUAGCUAUAUCCUUAUUUA